AUGUGUUUACCCAAAUGCAAAGGUGGUAUGGGUUUUCGUGAUUUGCAUGCUUUUAAUCUUGCCAUGCUUUCUAAACAAAGUUGGAGACUUAUUACUCAUCCAGAUACACUGUGUGCGAAGGUACUUAGAGCUAAGUACUAUAAUGGCAACUUAUUAAGUGCAAGGACAAAGAAGGGACCAUCCUUCACAUGGCAGAGCAUUGUGGCUGGUUUACAAACUUUCAAGAGGGGUAAUAUUUGGAGAGUGGGUACAGGCUCUCAAAUAAAUAUCUGGAAUGACCCAUGGAUAUCACAGAGCCCUACAAGAAAGGUUCUAACCAGAAGGGGCCAAGCUCUUGUUGAGAAAGUGGAAGAUCUUAUUGACCCAGCCACUCAUUCAUGGGAUGAAGCUCUUAUCAGAAGCAUCUUUGUUUCAAUAGACGCGGAAAGAAUUCGGAAAAUCCCAUUGUCUGAACACUUGUCGGAAGACUUUGUAGCAUGGCAUGCCACAAAGUCGUUUUGCUUUUCAGUGAGAUCUGCGUACUAUAUUGAAUGGGAGCAUCAAUUUGGAGCAAGAUUAGGCCGAGAGCAACCACAAACAUCUAGAGAUAAUCCGGUUUGGGAUGUCCCGUGGAAGCUACAUGUACCGAGUAAAGUCAAAAAUUUUGUUUGGCGAGCACUACAUGGAGUGGUUCCAGGGAAGUGCAUAUUGCAUAAUCGACAUAUUAAGGUCAGUGCCGAGUGCCCUUUGUGUCGAGAGGGUCCUUUGUGUAGCUGCGUGGUAUAUUUGGUGGGAACGUCGGGAAGCCGUGAAGGGCGAGUCGACUAA
Molecule: ribosomal RNA, 807 nt
Filed under: Triticum aestivum (bread wheat)
Lineage: Eukaryota; Viridiplantae; Streptophyta; Magnoliopsida; Poales; Poaceae
Description: partial small subunit ribosomal RNA
Source: RNAcentral